GCUAACGUAGCUUAAUUCAAAGCAUAACACUG
This 32-nucleotide transfer RNA is filed under the name Sphoeroides pachygaster (blunthead puffer). RNAcentral's name for it is "partial tRNA-Phe". Lineage: Eukaryota; Metazoa; Chordata; Actinopteri; Tetraodontiformes; Tetraodontidae. The record is from RNAcentral.